This is a non-coding RNA of Vicia faba (fava bean), 222 nucleotides long. The record is from the annotation of a GenBank genome assembly. Lineage: Eukaryota; Viridiplantae; Streptophyta; Magnoliopsida; Fabales; Fabaceae.
AUGGAAAAUCUCAAAACAGAGGUAGAAGACACCUCGCUUGUACCAGACACGGCAAAAUCUACUGCUUUCUUAGAUGCAUGCAACAUUCUUAAAUGUAGUAAUGAGGUUUCUGCAACAAUUGAAGAGCUUAGUAAAACUGUUGGUGCUGAUAUACAACCAAUUCUAACAAGUUCGUCGCCACCUUCCAAAAGAAAGAAGCAGAAAGUUGGAAGCAAAGAAUAA